UUACUCAUUUAAGCAACAAACGUUUAUCCAACCCCAAGCCUAUGUGGAGAUUCAAGUCCAAAGAGGGAAUGGAAGCUAAUAUUCUUCCUUAACCUCUCUCCGAGCCCCAGCUCCCUCCUCUCGGAAAAGAAGGGCUUCAUGUAGUUGGUCUCGAAGGCUCCCAUGAACUUCACUCGGAGGCAUCGACUACGUCACAACCAGAUACCUCGAUGUCACGCAGGACACCGAGUCGUCAAGGCCACAUAACGCUGAAGUCACUGGAGCCCUUUGGACAGCGAGUGGGAGCUGUAGCCUUGCCUCGGACCCCAACAGCCCCUCCCCUCUCGCCCCCUGCCUCAUCCCCAGCAAUGUAGAGACUCUCCCCGCGGGACCCGGGACUCUGGAUGGAAUGUGCCAUUUGCCUAGAAAGGGGAAGACUCGGAUCUCUUCUCUCCCACUCUCCCCCUCUCCCCACCCCCGCCCCCGCCUCCUGCUGUAGCUAGUGAAGCUUUCCGUUGCCAUGGUUCCGCCUACAACAAACUGAGGCCGCGGGGCAACUUGCUAGCGUGGGCCAGGUAAGUGUCUCGCGCCGCCGCUCAGGGCUCCUCCGCUGGCUUCGCGGGCGGGGGCCUCUGCAUAACUGUCCUUUCUUUGACUGGAGUCGUGGACCCGGCCAGCACAGGUGGCCUUCAGCUUGACUCGUCUCGGAAGGAUCUCCAGGUGCUGACUUGUCUGUGCAGUUUAUUUCUGCCUUACCAACACAGAAGGUGCUGGAUUAUUCCCAGAGGAACAGAUGGCUAAUUUCCGUUUUCAGAAACAAGAUGAUUUAACAGAAACCAUUUCGAAUCUGGAAGAAUUCAGAAGAGAAGGAUAUGGAGACUUACCGGGUGAGAAGGAAAGAGAGAAAAUGAUUCUCAAGAGGCAUGGCCGUUCAUUUGACUAUGAAUGUAUACUCAGGAAAAAGAGGAUGGCAAUGAACAGGAAGAAGAAACUCACGUACAAGGACAGAGUCCGCACAUUAUACCUUCGAAGAAACAUGAACAAUCUGGAUAGGAUAAACGAGGAAAAGAAAUUUUUCCUUUUGAAAACCAAGUAAGUAAAUUUUAGUGAAGAAAACUUCAGUAACACACUGGACCUUUGGUCUGAGAAAGGCAGCCCAGAUCCCUCGGAGGGUCUCUCCCACUUGCCAUGCUCAGCAGCUACUACUCUGCCAGCAACAGCCAGUGUGCAGGGAUGAGGGAAUCUUGAAGAGGUUACUGCCAAGGUUCUCUCUGGUGGGGGCUCAGUUAUUAACUCACCGGGAAUCAUGAGCUCCUGCUGUGACAAAGACAUCUGAGAAGGGGGGACGCCUUUUGGGGGAGGUAAGGCGAAUUCUUAGAAUUGUGGAUCUGAUCUCUCUUAGAGAUCUUGUUUUUUUGUGUUGAGUAUAGGCUCAACACAAAUAAUUUCUUCCUUUCUUCUUUCCCUCCUUUCUUCCUUCCUUGAGUCCUUCCUUCCCUCCUUCCCUUGUUCUUUCUCUCCUCUCCUUCCUUUCCCUCCCUCCUUCCCUCUUUCCUUCCUUCCCUCCUUCCUUCUUUCCUUGAUUCCUUGAUUCCUUCCCUCCUUCCUUCUCUCCUCUCCUUCCUUUCCCUCCCUCCUUCCCUCUUUCCUUCCUUCCCUCCUUCCUUCUUUCCUUGAUUCCUUGAUUCCUUGAUUCCUUCCCUCCUUCCUUCUCUCCUCUCCUUCCUUUCCCUCCCUCCUUCCUUCUUUCCGUCCUUCCCUCCUUCCUUGCUUACUUGCUUGCUUCCCUCCCUCCCUCCUUCCCUUUUUCCUUCCUUCCUUCUUUUCUUCCUUCCUCCCUCCCUCCCUCCCUCUUUCCUUCCUUCCUUCCUCCCUCCCUCCCUCCCUUCCUCCCUUCCUUCCCUUCCUCCUUCCCUUUUCCCUUCCUUCCUUCUUUUCUUCCUUCCAUCCUUCUUUCCCUCCUUCCUUCCUUUCCUCCUUCCCUUAUUUCUUUCCCUCCUUCCCUUCAUCUCAUGGCUCCAUUAUAAUUCCUUCUUCUCUCCUCACACUACUCCCUCCCAUUCACUUACACCUUUUUCUUUUAUCCAUUCCUCAAA
Long non-coding RNA from Monodelphis domestica (gray short-tailed opossum), 2075 nucleotides. Lineage: Eukaryota; Metazoa; Chordata; Mammalia; Didelphimorphia; Didelphidae. The record is from Ensembl.